UACGUAGGGGGCAAGCGUUGUCCGGAAUCAUUGGGCGUAAAGCGCGCGUAGGCGGUUCGGUAAGUCUGCUGUGAAAGUCCAGGGCUCAACCCUGGGAUGCCGGUGGAUACUGUCGGACUAGAGUACGGAAGAGGCGAGUGGAAUUCCGGGUGUAGCGGUGGAAUGCGUAGAGAUUCGGAAGAACACCGGUGGCGAAGGCGGCCUGCUGGGACAAUGCUGACGCUGAGGCGCGACAGCGUGGGGAGCAAACAGG
Molecule: ribosomal RNA, 253 nt
Filed under: uncultured bacterium
Lineage: Bacteria
Description: partial 16S ribosomal RNA
Rfam family: Bacterial small subunit ribosomal RNA
Source: RNAcentral